This 427-nucleotide ribosomal RNA is filed under the name uncultured bacterium. RNAcentral describes it as "partial 16S ribosomal RNA". It matches the Rfam family "Bacterial small subunit ribosomal RNA", at positions 355 to 774 of the family's 1533-position model. The record is from RNAcentral.
UGGGGAAUAUUGCACAAUGGGCGCAAGCCUGAUGCAGCCAUGCCGCGUGUAUGAAGAAGGCCUUCGGGUUGUAAAGUACUUUCAGCGGGGAGGAAGGUGUUGUGGUUAAUAACCUCAGCAAUUGACGUUACCCGCAGAAGAAGCACCGGCUAACUCCGUGCCAGCAGCCGCGGGAAUACGGAGGGUGCAAGCGUUAAUCGGAAUUACUGGGCGUAAAGCGCACGCAGGCGGUCUGUCAAGUCGGAUGUGAAAUCCCCGGGCUCAACCUGGGAACUGCAUCCGAAACUGGCAGGCUUGAGUCUUGUAGAGGGGGGUAGAAUUCCAGGUGUAGCGGUGAAAUGCGUAGAGAUCUGGAGGAAUACCGGUGGCGAAGGCGGCCCCCUGGACAAAGACUGACGCUCAGGUGCGAAAGCGUGGGGAGCAAACA